Betta splendens (Siamese fighting fish) is the source of this 3966-nucleotide long non-coding RNA. Ensembl lists it as uncharacterized. The record is from Ensembl. NCBI's taxonomy places the organism in Eukaryota, Metazoa, Chordata, Actinopteri, Anabantiformes, Osphronemidae.
AUGGUUUUGCGGACGUCGGCGCUGCUGCUGCUCCUCUGGGUAUCGCUGCACGGCGCGACGCGAGCUGCGGCGGAGGUCUGCCGGGGGACGCACUGCUCCGGCGCCGGCGCCGACGCCGCAGACCCGCGGCCGUGCGCCGGGGCGCACUGUCCGGGCGGCAGAUCCCCGAGACCCAGAGCCCCCACGCAGCGUGGAGCGGCGCAGGUAGUCGGCAGCCAGCACCACGCGCACCCGAGAGCACCGUCGGAAGCCUCCGCUGCCGCGCAGCCACCGCGCGCGCGGCACGGCGGCGGCGGCGGCGGCGGCGCACGAACCAGAGCGCCCGAAGCGGCGCCUGCGGGAGGAUGCACCGCGGCGGACUGUCCCGCUCCUGCGAAAGCGUUUCAGCCCACGAACGACACCCGAGACUGCAGAGGCAUCGAGUGCCGGCUGCCGCUGACGAUACGGCCAAGGGCUCGAACAAAGCCGUGUGUGGGAGACGGAUGUGUGGCCGCGUCAGAGGGGAGCGUCUCCUCCGCCGCCAGCCAGCUUCCUCCCGUGCAUCUGUCCGACAGAGCCGCGCAGUUCCUCGGAGACUUCCCGGAGUUAGGAUAUCCCCCGCCGGAACUUGGCGGUGCGCCUCUGGGCGUCCAGCUCACGUGUGACAUCAAGCCAGGCGAGAACGAGGUGCCCUCAGAGGACGCCCUCAUCCUGCACCUGCAGCUGGCCAAGGGGCAGGAGGAGCUGGUGGAGGCCCUGCGGGCGCAGCAGGCCGUCAUCCGCGAGCUGCAGCAGAAGCUGGCCGAGCAACAGGAGGCGCUGCUGUCGCAGCAGCGGCAGAUCCUGGAGCAGCAGCGGCGCAUGUACGAGCAGAUGGACCUGGUGAAGGCCCAGUACGGCCUGCUGUCGGACACCGUCAAGCAGGUGUCCUUCCAGGGCCUGCAGGCGGAGCUGCACGGCUACUUCGAGAGCCACCUGGCGGGCCUCCAGAACCAGGCGCGCAGCCACCUGCAGAAGGCCCACGGCGCCCAGAACCCGGAGGUGCUGGACGUCGCCGGGGAGGCCCGCUUCCCCCGCCCGCUGCCGGGGUGCCCGGCGCCGUGCGCGUCGGGGCGGUUCUGCGACUUCCAGAGGGAGGCGCCGCGGUGCGAGGACUGCACCACGUGCCCGCCGGGCUUCUUUCCGAUCUCGCAGUGCUCUCCUACGGCCGACAGGAUGUGCCAGGACAGGGACGAAUGCCUGGAAAGGCCCAACGUUUGCGGGGACCGAGGGAAGUGCCUCAACACGCCAGGAGGCUUCAGGUGCCUGGGGCUGUCGGAGAGGGAGGCGGCGACGGGCUCGUGCGGCCGCGGCUACUUCUACAACCGGGAGCUGCAGGAAUGCCAGGCGUGCUCGGACUGCGACGGGCAGCCGCUCGCCGCCCCCUGCUCGGCCGCCAGCGACGCGGUGUGCGGCCGGCCCGCGGAGGGCCGCCUGUCCCAGUCGUGGGCGGCCGGCGCCGCCGUGCCCUCCGCCGGCGCCCCCGGCCGCCACAUCUUCCCCGGGCUGCAGCUCAACAUCCGGGGGAAGGAGAGCAGCGACCUGCUGCGGAGCGAGGGGCGCCAGCUGACGUUCGCGCAGCACGGCCUGGUCUGGUUCGACCACAACUUCGCCAUCAGGCACAGCUGCAGGAACUUCCUCCAGGUCGGGAUGAGGCUCAACGGGAGCCAGGAGGAGGAGUGCCGGGACCUCGGCGGCGUGCGCAUCGAGCAGCCGGACGGGAGGUACUUCCAGGGGGUGAGCGUCAGCGGCGGCGCCGAGGUGGAGCCCGGCCACACCUUCGCUCUGCUGCUGAAGAGCCCCAACCAGCACUGCAACCAGAGCAGGGACCUGCACUUCUACGAGGCGGCCGCCCCCUCCCUGAGCCUCCUCUGGCUGUCCCACGACACCGGCGCCGUGGCUCUGAGCGCGCAGAUGUCGCUGGCGGCGCACCACCAGGGCAGCUACCGGCCCACGCUGCGCGUGGCCUCCGUGUCCGACCCCUACAUGCUGGGCCUGACCCACGACGGGCGCGCGGUGCGCUUCACGGAGGGCGGCGUGGUGAAGUUCGCCCUGCAGCAGGCGCUCUACUCCAUGGGCCACAGCUGCGUGCGCGAGGGCUUCUCCCUCGUCGCCUACGCCAGCCGCAACGGGAGCGCGCAGGAGGUGUUGCGGGCCUUCAAGGCCGGCGUCAACUACCGGGACACGUCCGUCACCCUGUCGGGGGCGCUGAGCGUGGACGGCGGGGACACGCUGAGCUUCGAGGUCACGUCUCCGUCCCAGUGCAACGUCCGCUACUUCGGGGACAGCACGGGGAUCAGCGCGCUGAGCCUGUUCUGGAUCCCGUCGGCCGUGUCCUCGGCCCUGACGGCCACCGUGUCCCGCGCGGGUCUUCCCUUCGGAGCGGUCAGGAAUAAGCCCCUGUUUUUCCAGCAGACUGGUCCGGACACGCCGCAGGUGCACCUGGCCCGCUCAGGUGAGCCCAACGGCCGCAAGAACUUCCUAUUCCGCCAGAAGGGGACCGUGAACAUAGCGCUCAGCCUGAAGCUGAUCCACUCCUGUAAUAUCAUCAAACUGACUGUUCAGCGAGCGGGGCCCGCGGGUCAGGCCGGCGCCGUGGCCCAGCAGGUGUCUGGGUCCAUGCCCGAAGGGAGCGAAUGGGCCAGUAUCGGGCUGAGGGCCUCCCUCCAGGUCCACAACGGCACCGCUCUCUAUGUCACGUUGGACUGCGUCCGCGGACGGGUCAACCAGAUAACGCACGAGGGCGGCACCAACGUUUCCAUCCUCUGGGUCGCAGUGUGACCCGGAACCAGACGGAGCCUCUAAAAAACGGUUUGCACAACAUUGAAUUGCAGAGCAGAUUCAACAGUUUUGAAACAUAAGUAUAUGAUAUUAAUCUAUGUCUUAUAUUUGUUCAGAUAAUUGUUUCAAUGUCAUUUUGAUUUUUUAAUAAUGAACUGAAAGUACGGCUUCUGCUUGAAGUACUUCGGCUGGUUGAGCAGUGACCAACUCUCCACUGUGUGUGUGUGUGUGUGUGUGUGUGUGUGUCUGCAUUUAAAGUCUAAGAAUAUUCUUCUAUCUUUGCUUUUAUUUAAAUACUCUGUAUUAAAACGUUUUAUAUUAAAUCAUUAGGCAUUAAAGUAACAGAAAUAUUGAAUCAGGUUAGUGUUGAUGAGACUGGAAACUGGAGCUGAGUGGUGAAACCUUCAUAACCUGAUAGAGUAGAGUUCAGUCCACCUUUUCAGUAGAUUCGGCGAGUGGUUAGAAGAUAUUUUAAAUAAUGUGUGUCAUAUCAUAUGACUUGUUUCAAACACUGACCCUGUACUGAGUCUACUGUGGGGACCAGUCUGCACCAGUCUGACCUUUCUGCCAAACCAGUGUGCUUGGCUCACAACAGGUGUGAGUUCCUAGUUUUGCCAUACUCCUGUUUGAAAUGAGCCCAUUGUCUCCAUUUCUGUGUGCGUUUCCCUCAUAUGUUUUUUCAAAUAUGCACAUUUUCUACAAACCUUUCCUCCUGAUGCUCUGAUUACUUUGUUAUGACAGCAUUUACACUAAUGUAAGUAGAAAACCAGCAGGAGAAGCAUUUUUUGUACUUGACAGUUUUGUAUUAAUUUGUCUUGAUGCUAAUUAAAGUCUAUAUUUACACUAAAAGCACAUAUAAAACAAACAAUGUUGAGUAUGAAGCACUAAGUGAGCCGUAAUGAUCCUCCAUGAGUAAACUAUACUCCACAGUUUACUGCAUAGUAGUGUGAAUAUACAAACAUUAUACCUUCUUACUUUUUUGUUUAACUCUUUCCCUUUGCAGAGCUUGUGUCUAGAUUUCCUGCCUGUGCUGUUUAUAGAAUCAAAUUUAGGGAGUUUGCAGAGAGAGAGAAAUUCUUUAACCAGUUUCUUCUUUCAUUCGUCUUGUACCAUAGCAGUGCAUGUGUUCAUGUCCAGCGGCAAAUAAAGUGCAUAAAUAUGAAGCCA